AAGCUCGUAGUUGAAUUUCGGGGUUCUACCGUUGGUCGGGCUAACCAGUCUGUACUAGCGUGUAGAAUUCCUACCUUCUGGGGAACCAUCAUGUUAUUAAUUUAGCGUGGUGGGAAACCAGGACCUUUACCUUGAAAAAAUUAGAGUGUUCAAAGCAGGCUUACGUCUGAAUACAUUAGCAUGGAAUAAUAAAAUAGGACGGUGGUCCUGUUUUGUUGGUUUCCGAAUCACCGUAAUGAUUAAAGGAUAGUUGGG
RNAcentral lists this ribosomal RNA (255 nucleotides) under uncultured Scutellospora. Its description in RNAcentral is "partial 18S ribosomal RNA". It matches the Rfam family "Eukaryotic small subunit ribosomal RNA", at positions 624 to 885 of the family's 1831-position model. The record is from RNAcentral. Lineage: Eukaryota; Fungi; Glomeromycota; Glomeromycetes; Diversisporales; Gigasporaceae.